ACUGAAAAUGCCUAGAUGAGUAUAUUAACUCCAUAAACA
This 39-nucleotide transfer RNA is filed under the name Muntiacus atherodes (Bornean yellow muntjac). RNAcentral describes it as "partial tRNA-Phe". The record is from RNAcentral. Lineage: Eukaryota; Metazoa; Chordata; Mammalia; Artiodactyla; Cervidae.